Molecule: ribosomal RNA, 497 nt
Filed under: uncultured bacterium
Lineage: Bacteria
Description: partial 16S ribosomal RNA
Rfam family: Bacterial small subunit ribosomal RNA
Source: RNAcentral
GAUGAACGCUGGCGGCGUGCCUAAUACAUGCAAGUCGAGCGAACAGAUAAGGAGCUUGCUCCUUUGACGUUAGCGGCGGACGGGUGAGUAACACGUGGGUAACCUACCUAUAAGACUGGGAUAACUUCGGGAAACCGGAGCUAAUACCGGAUAAUAUUUCGAACCGCAUGGUUCGAUAGUGAAAGAUGGUUUUGCUAUCACUUAUAGAUGGACCCGCGCCGUAUUAGCUAGUUGGUAAGGUAACGGCUUACCAAGGCGACGAUACGUAGCCGACCUGAGAGGUUGAUCGGCCACACUGGAACUGAGACACGGUCCAGACUCCUACGGGAGGCAGCAGUAGGGAAUCUUCCGCAAUGGGCGAAAGCCUGACGGAGCAACGCCGCGUGAGUGAUGAAGGUCUUCGGAUCGUAAAACUCUGUUAUUAGGGAAGAACAUACGUGUAAGUAACUGUGCACGUCUUGACGGCACCUAAUCAGAAAGCCACGGCUAACUACGUG